UAGCAGUUUAGACCAGUAAUUCUCAACUUG
RNAcentral lists this non-coding RNA (30 nucleotides) under Rattus norvegicus (Norway rat). Lineage: Eukaryota; Metazoa; Chordata; Mammalia; Rodentia; Muridae. The record is from RNAcentral.